This 472-nucleotide ribosomal RNA is filed under the name Flavobacteriaceae bacterium enrichment culture clone PSHTC-046. Its description in RNAcentral is "bacterial SSU rRNA". It matches the Rfam family "Bacterial small subunit ribosomal RNA", at positions 53 to 522 of the family's 1533-position model. Lineage: Bacteria; Pseudomonadati; Bacteroidota; Flavobacteriia; Flavobacteriales; Flavobacteriaceae. The record is from RNAcentral.
ACCAUGCAGUCGAGGGGUAACAGGGAGCUUGCUCUGCUGACGACCGGCGCACGGGUGCGUAACGCGUAUGCAACCUACCUUCUACAGGGGGAUAGUCAAUAGAAAUGUUGAAUAAUACCCCAUACGAUCUUUGAGUGGCAUUACUUAAAGAGGAAAGCUUCGGCGGUAGAAGAUGGGCAUGCGUCCUAUUAGUUAGUUGGUGAGGUAACGGCUCACCAAGACCGCGAUAGGUAGGGGCCCUGAGAGGGGGAUCCCCCACACUGGUACUGAGACACGGACCAGACUCCUACGGGAGGCAGCAGUGAGGAAUAUUGGACAAUGGAGGCAACUCUGAUCCAGCCAUGCCGCGUGCAGGAAGACUGCCCUAUGGGUUGUAAACUGCUUUUAUACAGGAAGAAACCUACUUACGUGUAAGUAGCUGACGGUACUGUAAGAAUAAGGAUCGGCUAACUCCGUGCCAGCCGCCGGGGGU